GCACUUGGAGGAUGUAUGGCAAUAGCUGGUUGCAUUAAGUAAAAGUUAGUGUAAGAUCGACUCUGUCGAAUAAAAUUCUAGGUAGAGUUAUGAUGAUGACAUUAUCUAUCUAUGUGUCUUGACCAAAAUACGUGCCAGCAGUCGCGGUAAUACGUAAAAGACUAGUGUUAUUCAUCUUUAAUAGGUUUAAAGGGUACUUAGACGGUGGAUUAAGCCCCCAAAGGGAACUAAUAAACUAGAGUUUGAUGUAAGGAAGUAUUAAAGUACUGUUGGUGUAGAGAUGAAAUUCUAUCAUACCAAAUAUGGCACAGGUUUAGGCGAAAGCAUCUUCUUAUGUAAUAACUGACGUUGAAGGACGAAGGCUUUGUGUCUCGAACAGGAUUAGGUACCCCAGUAGUCUAAGCAGAAAAUGAUGAAUGUCAUAGAUUAGAUAUUUUUUAGUCUAUAAAUGAAAGUGUAAGCAUUCCACCUCAAGAGUAAUUUGGCAACAUUGGAACUGAAAUCAUUAGACCGUUUCUGAAACCAGUAGUGAAGUAUGUUGUUUAAUUAGAUUAUCCGCAAAAAACCUUACCACAAUUUGAAUUGUUAUGCUAUUUUACAAUAACAAGCGCUGCAC
Molecule: ribosomal RNA, 616 nt
Filed under: Porpidia macrocarpa
Lineage: Eukaryota; Fungi; Ascomycota; Lecanoromycetes; Lecideales; Lecideaceae
Description: SSU rRNA
Rfam family: Bacterial small subunit ribosomal RNA
Source: RNAcentral